CUGUACGCUUCAGAAGCACAGCGCGCAAUUACCCAAUCUAGACAGUAGGAGGUGGUGAAGAGAAUUACUGAAUGUUAAUAGCAUGGAACGAAUAGUUUAGUGGAAGUGAGUGUAUGAGUGGUACAUUUUGUACUGCUUUUAUACUCACAGCACCAACCACGAAGCGGAACAUUGGUUGCCGACUUCGGGUGAGGAUUAAGAGGGGCAUUUGGGGGCAUUAGUAUUUGCCGCGAGAGGUGAAAUUCUUGGACCGGCAAAGGACUAACAAGUGCGAAAGCAGUUGCCAAGUAUGUUCCCAUUAAUCAAGAACGAAAGUGAGAGGUUCGAAGACGAUCAGAUACCGUCCUAGUUCUCACCGUAAACGAUGCCAACCCGGGAUCAGUUCGGAUGCAAAUGUUUGAUCCAGGUUGGUCCCCCUGGGAAACCUUGAGUGUUUAGGUUCCGGGGGGAGUAUGGUUGCAAGGCUGAAACUUAAAGGAAUUGACGGAAGGGCACCACCAGGGGUGGAGCCUGCGGCUUAAUUUGACUCAACACGGGAAAACUCACCUGGUCCGGACAUCGAUAGGAUUGACAGACUAAUAGAUCUUUCAUGAUACGGUGGGUGGUGGUGCAUGGCCGUUCUUAGUUCGUGGAGCGAUCUGUCAGGUUU
This 649-nucleotide ribosomal RNA is filed under the name Myxidium sp. I GDB-2022. RNAcentral describes it as "SSU rRNA". It matches the Rfam family "Eukaryotic small subunit ribosomal RNA", at positions 690 to 1321 of the family's 1831-position model. The record is from RNAcentral. Lineage: Eukaryota; Metazoa; Cnidaria; Myxozoa; Bivalvulida; Myxidiidae.